GAGUCAAUAUGAAUAAGAAAGGCUAGAACUCUCAGUUUGUUUAUCACUUGACCUGGUUGUUUAUCUUCACGGUAUUGGAGCUCGUUGCCUGAAGAUCGUCGCAAAGUGCAAGCAACCUACCACAGAGACGAGUGACCUUUUUUUUAAAAAAAAAAAUAAGAGGAGUGACCUUUAGUAACAAGGUAAACUCCCCCAGUCCCCCUGGAGAAAGAAAAAGAACACCG
This 224-nucleotide long non-coding RNA is filed under the name Setaria viridis. Its description in RNAcentral is "long non-coding RNA (SVIR_LNC001074)". Lineage: Eukaryota; Viridiplantae; Streptophyta; Magnoliopsida; Poales; Poaceae. The record is from RNAcentral.